Molecule: transfer RNA, 64 nt
Filed under: Peronia peronii
Lineage: Eukaryota; Metazoa; Mollusca; Gastropoda; Systellommatophora; Onchidiidae
Description: tRNA-Leu
Source: RNAcentral
UUUGAUUUGGCAGAUUAAUGCCGUUGAUUUAGGAUCAGCUCAUAACAUUUAUUGUUAAUCGGAG